Molecule: ribosomal RNA, 494 nt
Filed under: uncultured bacterium
Lineage: Bacteria
Description: partial 16S ribosomal RNA
Rfam family: Bacterial small subunit ribosomal RNA
Source: RNAcentral
GACGAACGCUGGCGGCGUGCUUAACACAUGCAAGUCGAACGGUGAAGCGCCUUCCUUUUUGGUGGGUGUGGAUGAGUGGCGAACGGGUGAGUAACACGUGAGUAACCUGCCCCCUUCUUCUGGAUAACCGCAUGAAAGUGUGGCUAAUACGGGAUAUUCUGGGUCUGUCGCAUGAUGGGUCUGGGAAAGAUAUUGUUUCGGUGGGGGAUGGGCUCGCGGCCUAUCAGCUUGUUGGUGGGGUGAUGGCCUACCAAGGCGGUGACGGGUAGCCGGCCUGAGAGGGUGGACGGUCACACUGGGACUGAGACACGGCCCAGACUCCUACGGGAGGCAGCAGUGGGGAAUAUUGCACAAUGGGCGCAAGCCUGAUGCAGCGACGCCGCGUGAGGGAUGGAGGCCUUCGGGUUGUGAAGCUCUUUCGCCAGUGAAGCAGGCCUGCCUCGUUUGUGGGUGGGUUGACGGUAGCUGGAUAAGAAGCGCCGGCUAACUACGUG